UCUAAUUUUAUGCAUGUGGUAUUCUAUUUAAUUACAAGAAUUACAUUAAGAACAACUGCUAAUCAUCUGCUUCAGCUAAUUUCAAAGAAAAAAUGUCUAAUAGUACUUUUACAUUUUCUAAUUAGUAUAUUUUCUUCAGAAACACACACUGUCUAGUUGACUUUCUUGGAAGUGAUGUUGGCAGCUAUUAAUGAUCACUAUCAAGAUUCAUCAAUUUGUUAGGAGUUAAAAAUGACUCCUAACUUUUGUCACUCUU
RNAcentral lists this long non-coding RNA (256 nucleotides) under Homo sapiens (human). RNAcentral's name for it is "non-protein coding lnc-CNTNAP5-2:3". The record is from RNAcentral. Lineage: Eukaryota; Metazoa; Chordata; Mammalia; Primates; Hominidae.